RNAcentral lists this ribosomal RNA (253 nucleotides) under uncultured prokaryote. RNAcentral's name for it is "partial 16S ribosomal RNA". It matches the Rfam family "Bacterial small subunit ribosomal RNA", at positions 525 to 777 of the family's 1533-position model. The record is from RNAcentral.
ACGUAGGCAGCGAGCGUUGUUCGGAAUUACUGGGCGUAAAGGGUGUGUAGGCGGUUCUCUAAGUUUGGUGUGAAAUCUCCCGGCUUAACCGGGAGGGUGCGCCGAAAACUGGGGGACUAGAGUGCGGGAAGGGAGAGUGGAAUUCCUGGUGUAGCGGUGAAAUGCGUAGAUAUCUGGAGGAACACCGGUGGCGAAGGCGGCAUUCUGGACCAAUAUUGACGCUGAGGAGCGAAAGCCAGGGGAGCAAACGGGA